CAGUAGCCGCGGGAAUACGUAGGUGGCAAGCGUUGUCCGGAAUUAUUGGGCGUAAAGGGCUCGCAGGCGGUUUCUUAAGUCUGAUGUGAAAGCCCCCGGCUCAACCGGGGAGGGUCAUUGGAAACUGGGAAACUUGAGUGCAGAAGAGGAGAGUGGAAUUCCACGUGUAGCGGUGAAAUGCGUAGAGAUGUGGAGGAACACCAGUGGCGAGGGCGACUCUCUGGUCUGUAACUGACGCUGAGGAGCGAAAGCGUGGGGAGCGAACAGGAUUAGAUACCCGCGUAGUCCCUGUCUCUUAUAC
This 301-nucleotide ribosomal RNA is filed under the name uncultured bacterium. RNAcentral describes it as "partial 16S ribosomal RNA". It matches the Rfam family "Bacterial small subunit ribosomal RNA", at positions 509 to 807 of the family's 1533-position model. The record is from RNAcentral.